Neolamprologus brichardi is the source of this 322-nucleotide non-coding RNA. The record is from RefSeq and is a predicted model, not a curated record. NCBI's taxonomy places the organism in Eukaryota, Metazoa, Chordata, Actinopteri, Cichliformes, Cichlidae.
AACUUUCAAUAACUAUUUGGUUCUUUUCUUAGCUUGAAGAAGAGCUGAGCGGCAUUGUGGAGGUCAUUGGUAUGGUGUCCAGCAAAGGAGUAAUAACCACCACCACAUACAACCUCCUACGAGAGGACAAAGGCAUUCCCUUUGACUUGGAGCUGUACAAUGAAGCCCUGAAGGUCAUUCACGACUUUCCUCAGUACUACCCGUUUGAAGUGGCUGCAAGUGGAUGAAGAUUGGCUUCACUGUUUUUGUCUCAUUUUACAUGUUGGAGAGAAUAGUGUGGUACAAAAUAUUUGCAUUAAAAUGAAAACCUUUGUUAAUCACA